Molecule: ribosomal RNA, 376 nt
Filed under: uncultured bacterium
Lineage: Bacteria
Description: bacterial SSU rRNA
Rfam family: Bacterial small subunit ribosomal RNA
Source: RNAcentral
AACGUAGGAGGCAAGCGUUAUCCGGAUUCACUGGGCGUAAAGCGCGUGCAGGCGGUUUGGUAAGUUGGGUAUGAAAGCUCCUGGCUUAACUAGGAGAGGCUAUCCAAUACUAUCAGACUUGAGGACGGUAGAGGAAGAUGGAAUUCCCGGUGUAGUGGUGAAAUGCGUAGAUAUCGGGAGGAACACCAGUGGCGAAAGCGAUCUUCUGGACCGUUUCUGACGCUCAGACGCGAAAGCUAGGGUAGUAAACGGGAUUAGAGACCCCGGUAAUCCUAGCCGUAAACGAUGUAAACUUGGCGUUGGUGGCUUAAACACCAUCAGUGCCGCAGCUAACGCGAUAAGUUUACCGCCUGGGGACUACGAUCGCAAGAUUAAA